CAUGCAAGCCGAGCGGUAGAGAUCUUUCGGGAUCUUGAGAGCGGCGUACGGGUGCGGAACACGUGUGCAACCUGCCUUUAUCUGGGGGAUAGCCUUUCGAAAGGAAGAUUAAUACCCCAUAAUAUGUUGGAUGGCAUCAUUCGACAUUGAAAACUCCGGUGGAUAGAGAUGGGCACGCGCAAGAUUAGAUAGUUGGUGAGGUAACGGCUCACCAAGUCUACGAUCUUUAGGGGGCCUGAGAGGGUGAUCCCCCACACUGGUACUGAGACACGGACCAGACUCCUACGGGAGGCAGCAGUGAGGAAUAUUGGACAAUGGGUGAGAGCCUGAUCCAGCCAUCCCGCGUGAAGGACGACUGCCCUAUGGGUUGUAAACUUCUUUUGUAUAGGGAUAAACCUACCCUCGUGAGGGUAGCUGAAGGUACUAUACGAAUAAGCACCGGCUAACUCCGUGCCAGCAGCCGCGGUAAUACGGAGGGUGCAAGCGUUAUCCGGAUUUAUUGGGUUUAAAGGGUCCGUAGGCGGAUCUGUAAGUCAGUGGUGAAAUCUCACAGCUUAACUGUGAAACUGCCAUUGAUACUGCAGGUCUUGAGUGUUGUUGAAGUAGCUGGAAUAAGUAGUGUAGCGGUGAAAUGCAUAGAUAUUACUUAGAACACCAAUUGCGAAGGCAGGUUACUAAGCAACAACUGACGCUGAUGGACGAAAGCGUGGGGAGCGAACAGGAUUAGAUACCCUGGUAGUCCACGCCGUAAACGAUGCUAACUCGUUUUUGGGCUUUCGGGUUCAGAGACUAAGCGAAAGUGAUAAGUUAGCCACCUGGGGAGUACGUUCGCAAGAAUGAAACUCAAAGGAAUUGACGGGGGCCCGCACAAGCGGUGGAUUAUGUGGUUUAAUUCGAUGAUACGCGAGGAACCUUACCAAGGCUUAAAUGGGAAAUGACAGGUUUAGAAAUAGACUUUUCUUCGGACAUUUUUCAAGGUGCUGCAUGGUUGUCGUCAGCUCGUGCCGUGAGGUGUUAGGUUAAGUCCUGCAACGAGCGCAACCCCUGUCACUAGUUGCCAUCAUUAAGUUGGGGACUCUAGUGAGACUGCCUACGCAAGUAGAGAGGAAGGUGGGGAUGACGUCAAAUCAUCACGGCCCUUACGCCUUGGGCCACACACGUAAUACAAUGGCCGGUACAGAGGGCAGCUACACAGUGAUGUGAUGCAAAUCUCGAAAGCCGGUCUCAGUUCGGAUUGGAGUCUGCAACUCGACUCUAUGAAGCUGGAAUCGCUAGUAAUUCGCG
RNAcentral lists this ribosomal RNA (1284 nucleotides) under Chryseobacterium indologenes. RNAcentral describes it as "bacterial SSU rRNA". It matches the Rfam family "Bacterial small subunit ribosomal RNA", at positions 54 to 1347 of the family's 1533-position model. The record is from RNAcentral. Lineage: Bacteria; Pseudomonadati; Bacteroidota; Flavobacteriia; Flavobacteriales; Weeksellaceae.